GGGGCUCCGCGGCUUGGUGGCCUGGCGGCCUGCUGGCUGGGACUCGCGGUCGCUUCCCACCCGACUAGGCUGAGACUGGUGAGCCUGCUUUCUGCGUGCUCGCUCGCCCUCUAGCAGGGGUAGGGUGAGAGUAAAGGAUGCUCCGCCGGGCCCUGGGCAGGUCCUUAACCUGCGGGACUGCGUGGCUUGCGGACGUGGCCCACGGGCUGCCCUGGCCGGUUCCCAGGGCCACGACGCCACAGUGUUAGGCAGGAUUUCCCCAGCACUCCGCUGGACGGUCGGAGCUCCCGCGCGCUCUGUGGCCCAUGGCUUCCCACCUCCUUCUCUGCAUUUCGUGUGUAGGAAGAUUGCACCUCUGUGUUCUAAGAUUCCCGAAGUACCCACGGGCCCUUCUUGGAAACAGAGCGGGGUGAGCCCUGCCGCUGUGGGUUGGCAGGGACAUUUGGAAUUAACGACACCUGGGACGUGCUUAAAUGGAACUUGGAAAACAUCUACGGACUAGACUGACCUCAGGGUCUCAAGAGACUUUGUCUCUUCCCUGCAUUCUUCUCUCCUCUCCCUGAGCCCACUAAUGCAGACUCCAAAUCUUCCUCUACCUUCCUUUUGGCGGUAAUGUAGAGGGUAAUACAGUGAGGAAAAGCCACAAAAUGUCUAUAGUGCAGGGGAUUCUGCAGUUAACCAAGUACUUUCUUACUGAUGAACUCGAAUGAACCAUAACGAAGGUGAUACAUGAUCUGUUCUAGGGAGUACUUGAGUCAUCACAACAUCUCUAUGAUCUUGGGGGAGAUAGCUGGGUAUUAUUAACCCUAUUGUGAGUGUAUAGAAAACUGAGGCACUUGGGGGGGGGGUGUUAUAGUAUUUUUCUCACUCUCUAGAAUAGAUGCUAUAUAAAUCCAGUAAUUACCACCUGCUAGUAUGUUCCCAUAGGACACGACCUCACUGAUGGAUAAUCUAGAUACAUGUACACAACAAGAAUUUAUAAAUAGUUAUCUUGAGUAAUACCUGACCU
This 1009-nucleotide long non-coding RNA is filed under the name Marmota monax (woodchuck). Lineage: Eukaryota; Metazoa; Chordata; Mammalia; Rodentia; Sciuridae. The record is from RNAcentral.